UGUUAUCUUUGCCCUGACAGUAAUAAUAUAUUCCUGCAAAAAAAUAUUGUACACUGUAAGGACAUUGAUACUUCUGACACUUAUAGAAAAGAAACAAAAAUUAUCAAAGUUACCUUCAUAUUAAUGUCCCAAGCAGUUUCCAACAACUGUUUGAUAUUCAUCCUAUUAAUGAACAUCUGUUCCUCCAUGGAAAUCUUAUUCGGAGAAUAGCUCUUUAGAACUUGGACACCAAUAAAAACAGUUGGAAACCUAUACAACAUUUCAACAGAUGUGUAAAAUAUACUAUCAAAUCUGCAUUCCAUUCAAUCCUAAAAACAAACACUAACCUUUCAAUCAAAGAUGCCACAUAUUUUAUUUGCAAAUUUACAUAGAUUUUUGUAGCACUUGUGGCGAAAAAGGCAACCUCACCUAUUUAGAAAAUAAAAGAUUAAAAUCACACUCUAAAAAUUCUUUGCAUCUUUGAAAUUCAAUUCAAGCACAAUGCCUAUGAAACUCAUCCAACCAAAGUAUCAUCACCUUGAAAUUUUCUAACUGUUGUAAAAGUUGCUAUCACAGUGAAAGGACCGAAAUUUUUCUCAUAGAAAUUGAAAUCAAAAUUCUCUGCUAACUUUUUUCACAAAGUAAUUUUAGCCAUUACUGAGCUAUACAUAUAGGACAACAAAUAUCUUACUAAUUUAUCUAUAAUAACAGAAAAUGUACUCAUCACUGAGUUGUGCAUUUAGGACAUCAAAUAUCUUACUAAUUUAUUUGUAAUAAUAGAAAAAUAUUCAUAAUUUGAUACGAUAUCUUACUAAUUUGUUAUAACUUCAAUAUCUUUCUUUUUCGACCCAUUCUAAUAACCUCAAUAUCACCAACACUGGACAAACACCCAAUCACAUCUACAACAUGGAGGAGGAAAAAAAAAUAGAUUAACUGGGCAAGAAAAACACAUUAGAGAUAAAAGGGAUAAAUCACAAAUGUAUAAGUCAGAGUAGAACACACCUGAUAGGACUGUAUUAUCAUUGAUCCAUAAAUCAAGCAAUUCUACAGUAAUAAAUUAGAAUCCAUAGUUCGCAAUAUUUAUAAUCCCUUCUUCUAUCUUUUUAACUGAAGUUAUAAUCAAAAAAUAAUCUUGUAAUCAUUCAAAAUUAGUUGAUACUGCCUUGUGCUACCAACAAUCUUAAAAUUUUUUACACCAAAAACAGAACCCUUAACCAACAGAUGCCUAAACUUGCUUACUUGAUUCUUCCUUAUUGUUGCAUGCAUCAAAUUUUUCUAUAAUUAAACAAUAUGAUUUUAAAAUUGCUAAACUAAUCAAAGAUAGUUUUAAAUAAAAAUUUUUAUCGAUGCCACUACACAACAUCAACAUCACCUUCUAGUCAAUAAAAAUCAUAUCCAAACCGAUCAAGUCACCAUUGUUUUUCAGAUAAUAGACUCUCACAUCUUACAGAUCCUCACCCUUAUCAUCCAAUCAUCCUUAGUAGCAUUCAGCUCAUCAAGCAAAGAAUAUUUCAUACUGAUAAACCCCACUAAUAGAAACAGAAAAAUAAAAAUAUAUCAGAUAAAAAGUAUAGAAUAUGACUCACCACCCUUCAUGAUCAACUAUAUAUAAUGGCUAGAAUCAUUGAAGAAUAAGCAUCUAAUAAGACACCCUAAUCAAAUCACAUAAAUUGGAAGAAGAAGGGAUAGAUCCAGAGCAUGCUAAGCAGAUCCACCUAAAAGAUAGAUUGUAAUAAAUCAUAAAAAAAAGAAAAAGAAAAAGAAAUCACAUUGCAAGAGGAAGACCAAAAGAAUAGGGACAUUAAUCAUAUUGAUAUGCAUAAAUCAUCAAUAAAUAAGUAAUUAACACAUUGCUACAAUUUAUAAGAUUUAACACCAGAUAAUUCUAUAAUUUAAGAUAAAUAAAGAGGAUAGAUACAAUUUCAAUAGUUUUGUCUCUUACUACUCAAAAAAAUAUUAUAAAAAAAGAUAAAUAGCAAUACAUGUCAGAGAGAUCUCCUCACAAAGAUGAGAAACUUUCUCUCUCCCACAGAUCAUUGAAGAAUAAGCAUUUGGUAAGACGCCCUAAUCAAAUCACAUAAAUUAAAAGAAGAAGGGAUAGAUUUAGAGCAUGCUAAACAGAUCUACCUAAAAGACAGAUUGUAAUAAACUAUAAGAAAAAAAAAUCACACAGUAAGAGGAAGACCAAAAGAAUAGGGAUAUCAAUAAUAUUGACUUGCAUAAAUCAUCAAUAAAUAAGUAAUUAAUACAUCACUAUAAUUUAUAAGAUUUAACAACAGACAAUUUUGUAAUUUAAGAUGAAUAAAGAGGAUAGAAACAAUUUCAACGGCUUUAUUUUUCACUACUCAAAAAAUAUUAUAAAAAAGAUAAAUAAUAAUAUAUGUUUGAGAGAUCUCCUCAUAAAAUGAGAAACUUUCUCUCUCCCAUAAUUUUAUUAUAGAUAAUAGAUAGACAGAUAAUAAGUAGAUUAGAUAGUAUUUAAUGGUUGAGUAGAAAAUUAUCUUCAAAAAAAUAAAAAAUAAUAUCCUAUUAAGAAAAGAAAGGUGGCCGCAUCUGCACGCACCAUCGGACGAUCGUGCCGGGAUGCGCACAGGGUGACCGACGUGCUUUUAAGCUCCCCUUCUCCAGCGAUUCAUCUCCUCUUCAUCCUCCUUCUUCCCAAUAAAAAAAUGCUUCCCUCCCUUCAAAACCCCUUCAAAUCCCUCAUCAUUCAGCCAUGAAAUCAUCCUUUAUUCUCUUGGUCAUCUCCACCAUCGCCGUGGCCCACCAAAUCCUUGAUCCCCUGUUACUCCCCAGACCGCUGAUGGAAAAAAGAAAGGAAAUACCCAACACAAAAGCCCAGCCAUCAUCUAAGCUUCCCACGUUCCAAUGCCUCCUCCAUCGGUCCCUUUCACAUACUCUUCUUCCCCUUGAUGAGCCCCGGCCACAUGAUCCCCAUGGUCAUCAUGGUCUGCCUCUUUGCCACUCGCGGUGUCCGCUCCACCAUCGUCACCGCCCCCGGCAACGCCGCCAACCUCCGCCGCACCGUCGGUUCCUACGCGAUCGGUGGCCUCCUCCUCUCUCUCCACAUCAUCCCUUUCUCAGACCCUGCCGCCAAUGGUCUCGCCCCCAGCCAGAAGAACCUCUCUUCUAUCCCCAUUGCCCAGUUCAACACUCUUCCUCCGACUCCUCCCCUCGAAAGCAAACGAAGCUGUCGACCAGGGAAGCUUAGGCGAUGCUGUUUUUCUAUAUGGCUUCUCCAGGGUUAGGGUUUGGAUUCGAACGAAAAGAAGAGGAGGCAUUCUGGAUUCCUUGGCCUGAGAUUGCCUUUGGCACGGCUGGCAGGGGAGAUCCCAGGCUCCGCAGCCAUCGCCAUCAGCACCCGCGAUGCAGAGUCCCUCUUUCGCAUGAAGCUGAUGCUGGAGAUCCGCACUUUGGAGGCGGCAACCUGAUGGGUGAUCGAUGAGAAGAAGGAAGAGCUCCAGCAG
Molecule: long non-coding RNA, 3446 nt
Filed under: Elaeis guineensis (African oil palm)
Lineage: Eukaryota; Viridiplantae; Streptophyta; Magnoliopsida; Arecales; Arecaceae
Description: long non-coding RNA (EGUI_LNC022211)
Source: RNAcentral